AUACUAACUAUUAUCAAGUUGAGAAACACUGUAUUACCAUAACGUUCAGAUAAGCUGAAGCAAUUAUUACACUGAAUCUCCACUGAACCACCUCCCAUUAGAGUACUGUAAAUCUCCACAUCACCAUCAGAGGACAAGGUUCAUAAAAGCACAAUACUGACGGCAGAUACACCAGUGAGGAGCACGGAAUCAAAGAGAUCACAAGCACAAGAAAAAUGUACAAUCAAGGACCAACAAUCGGAAGAAUAAACUUAUCAUUCAAUGACCCAGAAGAGCAGGAUCCAUCACAGAAGCCCAGGAAGGGUCAGCCUGCGCCACCACCAUACCAGGAACAUCCUAAUGCUGGAUACCAUGGCCCAGGGCCCUAUCCCAACCCUUCUGGAUAUCCCAGCCAACCGUACGGAGUUCCAGGUGGCCCUCAGGGCCCGUAUGCCCCUCAGGGCCCUUAUGCUCCUCAGGGUCCGUAUGCUCCUCAAGGUCCGUAUGCUCCUCAAGGUCCGUAUGCUCCUCAAGGUCCGUAUGCUCCUCAGGGCCCGUAUGCCCAACAACAGCCUUAUCCAGGCAUGUCUGCAUAUCCACAAAGACCGCAUGCAGAUCACACUGGGGUCACCGUUCAGCCCACUGUGUUUAUGACCUCCACGCCAGCAGUCACUUCAGUGCCGGAUUACUUGUGCUACUCGAUCUUUACCUUGCUGUUCUGCUGUUGCCCUCUGGGACUUGCUGCUAUCAUCUGCUCGUGCUCUACUCGAGAUGCUAACAUGGUUGGACAGCAAGACUUAGCGAUCAAGUCCUCCAGAUCGGCAGUGAUCCUGAAUACUGUCGCUUUCUUUAUCGGCCUCACAGCCUACAUAAUAACCAUCAUCCUUGUACUGACAACAUGACCAAAUUAAGACUAUCAAGGGCCUUUGGGCUUUACCUCAUGAGGGGUCCUUCAUCCACCAGAACUAUUACCUACAUUCACUCAAUCUUCUUAAUCACAAAGCGCAAGUUAUCAGCCUUUUAUUUUGCAGGAAUAAAUAGCACAAACAAAACAUCUGAACUGAAAUCUGGCGUCGAAAUCAGGCACAUAUAAAUGUAAAAAAAACACUCAGUCCAGCUGAGGGGGCGUGUUCCGGCGGGAAAGAGAUGUAAUUAUAAGUAUUUAUAAGUAAUUAUAAGUAAAUGUUAUGUUUUCAAUGAACAGAUGUUGUAUUCUGCUUCAAAUGCAGCUACUCAUGAUUUUGCAGAAGAAAUUAGAAAUUACAAGUAUUUUCCAUUUUUUUUGAGGAAAUAAUCCAAUGUAUGUUUCUGUAUGAUUCAUAACCAAAAAGAAAAGUUCUGUUUCUUCAUGAAAUACAUUAAGUGUUCUGCUCAUCUACAGUAGUCAACAUUUGAAGUAGAUCAAAAAAGAUAA
Molecule: long non-coding RNA, 1393 nt
Organism: Ctenopharyngodon idella (grass carp)
Lineage: Eukaryota; Metazoa; Chordata; Actinopteri; Cypriniformes; Xenocyprididae
Exons: 2
Source: RefSeq, a predicted model, not a curated record